ACGCUCGACACCUACGGGGGGCAGCAGUGGGGAAUAUUGCACAAUGGGGGAAACCCUGAUGCAGCGACGCCGCGUGAGCGAAGAAGUAUUUCGGUAUGUAAAGCUCUAUCAGCAGGGAAGAAACUGACGGUACCUGACUAAGAAGCACCGGCUAAAUACGUGCCAGCAGCCGACGGUAAUCNGAGGCGGGCUGGACAAGGC
Molecule: ribosomal RNA, 201 nt
Filed under: uncultured bacterium
Lineage: Bacteria
Description: partial 16S ribosomal RNA
Rfam family: Bacterial small subunit ribosomal RNA
Source: RNAcentral